This 24-nucleotide non-coding RNA is filed under the name Arabidopsis thaliana (thale cress). The record is from RNAcentral. Lineage: Eukaryota; Viridiplantae; Streptophyta; Magnoliopsida; Brassicales; Brassicaceae.
GUCCAAAUGGGUUGUUCAGUGGAC